CAAUAAGGCUUGGAGGCAUGUGAAAUGACUUUGUAGAAUGGUUUAGACCAGCUUCAAUAUUCAUAAGGAAACUGACCUGUUAAUAAAUGCCAAUCAACUUUAAUUAAUCACCUGACUAGCAGCUUAAAUGAUCUAGUUAUUCACAGAUGCAAAGAAGGAGCAUUAAAAAAAAAAAAAAAAAAAAAAAAAAAAAAAGCAGGAGGUUGAGAAAGAACGAGCUACUUCCAUGCAGCUUCUCAAUACUCAGAGAACAGCACCAGAAACUCAGAACUGCAAUUGGGAGGGAAAGCUUCUUGUUUGUUCUUUUCUGGCUAUUGAGCCUCUUUACAAUUUUUUGGUGAUGCUUUGAACACAGUCAAUAUUUGAAUGAUGUCUUCACCUCUGCUUUCAUGAAAACCCUUUCAUGAGCCCCUCCUUAGAAAAUCUGCUUUAUAUUCUAGACACCUGCCAUUCUGUUAUCCUUCAUGGGCUUCACUCAAGGAAAAGUUACCACCAACUACUACCAAUUACUGGGAAUUAAUUCAGCAAUCAAAUUAGGUCAGCAAAGUAGGUCACCCAUAUAAUAACCAUGGCAUCAGUUGUUGCAGUAAUAYCCUUCCUCACCUCCCAUGAGGUGUCUCUUCCAGAUAGCUGGGGGGAGGUGACAGAGAUACUGUUAAAAUUCUUUAAUCCUGACUCAAUCACUUUAUUCUCUAGCAAGGUCAUUAAUAAAAGCAGUUGAAUAUAUUUUGUGUGCUUUAUUUUCUCCAUAGCUACUUCAUUAGCUAAGCUGCUCACCUUUAUUUACUGUAUUUCAGGCAAACUGGGAUUAAAUGAUUCCUGGAUAGCAUAGGUCUGACCUCAAGUGCUGAACAUGAGGCUCACACAGAUGAUUUCUUCGACUGCUGGUUGCCCAGAUGUUGCUGGCAGCUUGCUUGCUGCCCACUACAGAAGAGCUGAGCCCAUAAGUAGGAUGAUGUUACCAUCUACUGGCCUCAGAGGAGAAUGCAGCAGCCACGUAAAUCCCGCUGGCUUUCGGGUGCAGCGAGUCCCCGUUGGCAUCCCACACUUUCACUAGCGUCCAUAAAGGAACAUGGACAGCCGGCUCAGUCCUGAAGGGUCACUCAGCACUGGCUACAUGCCGGAGACAGGAAUCCCAGAUGGAGUGCUGGCAUUUUUCUGGAUGCUGAGGUGAGAACUGGCCUUAAGAGGCGUUUGCUGGAAGCUUGCUCUGAAGCAUCGGCCUGCAGGGUUACUGCUGAGGGUGUCCCUGGCAGGGAUAAGGGACAAAUCCAUGUCCUCCUCACUCCCAUUCGGUUCUUAACCCCAAAGGGGUUGUCUG
RNAcentral lists this long non-coding RNA (1321 nucleotides) under Dromaius novaehollandiae (emu). Its description in RNAcentral is "lncRNA (ENSDNVG00000006922.1)". Lineage: Eukaryota; Metazoa; Chordata; Aves; Casuariiformes; Dromaiidae. The record is from RNAcentral.